This 245-nucleotide long non-coding RNA is filed under the name Daucus carota (carrot). Its description in RNAcentral is "long non-coding RNA (DCAR_LNC006355)". The record is from RNAcentral. Lineage: Eukaryota; Viridiplantae; Streptophyta; Magnoliopsida; Apiales; Apiaceae.
GCGGCCGGAGAUUGGUGUCCUCUACUUGGCAGCUUGGAUCUCGCCAUCAGGCGUCAUCGGAUUGUCGGCGUCGGGAGAUUGAGAUGAGAAGCCGGGGGUGUGGCAGCCGACGAUAGGAGGCGGUGGAUUGCCGUUAUACUUACGUUUCGCAUCGCCGCCAGUGGUGUAUUGGAGUUAUCCGGAGGUGAAUCGAGAUGGAAAUGAGGGAGAGAGAUUGAGAAACCUAGAAAAGGUGUAGAUCGAGG